GAGCCAUUAGCUCAGCUGGUAGAGCAUCUGACUUUUAAUCAGAGGGUCAGAGGUUCGAAUCCUCUAUAGCUCA
Molecule: transfer RNA, 73 nt
Filed under: Staphylococcus aureus
Lineage: Bacteria; Bacillati; Bacillota; Bacilli; Caryophanales; Staphylococcaceae
Description: tRNA-Lys
Rfam family: tRNA
About the family: Transfer RNA (tRNA) molecules are approximately 80 nucleotides in length. Their secondary structure includes four short double-helical elements and three loops (D, anti-codon, and T loops).
Source: RNAcentral